Molecule: microRNA precursor, 115 nt
Filed under: Haemonchus contortus (barber pole worm)
Lineage: Eukaryota; Metazoa; Nematoda; Chromadorea; Rhabditida; Trichostrongylidae
Description: microRNA hco-mir-5971 precursor
Source: miRBase by way of RNAcentral
CACUAUCGCUUUGUAUAUUGCGGGGGUGAUGAAUAGUGAAUGGGAAUCUCUAUGAAUGUAGAUGAUUUCAAAAAUCACGCGUCCUGACCCGCUUGAAGCCUGAUGGGUGGCAUCG